UACUGGUCAGCCAUGUUCCUGUUGCUCAUCUCAACACUGGGGAUAUUUGCCCUGCGAGACACCGGAGCCCAGUCAGUGACCCAGCCUGACGUCCAUGUCACUGUCUCUGAAGGAUUCCGUGUGGAGCUGAGGUGCAACUAUUCCUACAGCGGAACUCCCUAUCUCUUCUGGUACGUGCAGCACCCCAGCCAAGGACUCCAGCUUCUCCUCAAGUACUUUUCAGGGGACACCCUGGUUAAAGGCAUCAAAGAUUUUGAGGCUGAAUUCAAGAAGCAUGAAACCACCUUCCACCUGAAGAAAUCUGCAGCUCUUGGCAGCGAUGCAGCCAAGUACUUCUGUGCUGUGAGCGACACAAUCUGUGUCCCGGCCAUGGAGCAGAUCGGAAUCUUUCCCUUGCAUAUUGGGUCCCAGUCAUGGGGACAGUUGGCUGCACUUUACAUCGUCUACUCCUGUAGAGGUCCCUUUUCUUCCUACUAG
Suricata suricatta (meerkat) is the source of this 477-nucleotide non-coding RNA. The record is from the annotation of a RefSeq genome assembly. NCBI's taxonomy places the organism in Eukaryota, Metazoa, Chordata, Mammalia, Carnivora, Herpestidae.